ACAGUGGUAGUUCAGUGGUAGAAUCCUUGCCUUUCAUACAGGAGACUUGAGUUCAACUCCCUGCCAGUGUA
RNAcentral lists this transfer RNA (71 nucleotides) under Loxodonta africana (African savanna elephant). It matches the Rfam family "tRNA". From Rfam's summary of the family: Transfer RNA (tRNA) molecules are approximately 80 nucleotides in length. Their secondary structure includes four short double-helical elements and three loops (D, anti-codon, and T loops). Further hydrogen bonds mediate the characteristic L-shaped molecular structure. tRNAs have two regions of fundamental functional importance: the anti-codon, which is responsible for specific mRNA codon recognition, and the 3' end, to which the tRNAs corresponding amino acid is attached (by aminoacyl-tRNA synthetases). tRNAs cope with the degeneracy of the genetic code in two manners: having more than one tRNA (with a specific anti-codon) for a particular amino acid; and 'wobble' base-pairing, i.e. permitting non-standard base-pairing at the 3rd anti-codon position. Lineage: Eukaryota; Metazoa; Chordata; Mammalia; Proboscidea; Elephantidae. The record is from Rfam by way of RNAcentral.